ACGCUCGACACCUACGGUAGGCAGCAGUGGGGAAUAUUGCACAAUGGGGGAAACCCUGAUGCAGCGACGCCGCGUGAAGGAAGAAGUAUCUCGGUAUGUAAACUUCUAUCAGCAGGGAAGAAAAUGACGGUACCUGACUAAGAAGCCCCGGCUAACUACGUGCCGGCAGCCGCGGUAAUCUGAGCGGGCUGGCAAGGC
Molecule: ribosomal RNA, 198 nt
Filed under: uncultured bacterium
Lineage: Bacteria
Description: partial 16S ribosomal RNA
Rfam family: Bacterial small subunit ribosomal RNA
Source: RNAcentral